Molecule: ribosomal RNA, 468 nt
Filed under: uncultured bacterium
Lineage: Bacteria
Description: partial 16S ribosomal RNA
Rfam family: Bacterial small subunit ribosomal RNA
Source: RNAcentral
GACGAACGCUGGCGGCGUGCUUAACACAUGCAAGUCGAACGGAAAGGCCCUGCUUUUGUGGGGUGCUCGAGUGGCGAACGGGUGAGUAACACGUGAGUAACCUGCCCUUGACUUUGGGGUAACUUCAGGAAACUGGGGCUAAUACCGGAUAGGAGCUCCUGCUGCAUGGUGGGGGUUGGAAAGUUUCGGCGGUUGGGGAUGGACUCGCGGCUUAUCAGCUUGUUGGUGGGGUAGUGGCUUACCAAGGCUUUGACGGGUAGCCGGCCUGAGAGGGUGACCGGCCACAUUGGGCCUGAGAUACGGCCCAGACUCCUACGGGAGGCAGCAGUGGGGAGUAUUGCACAAUGGGCGGAAGCCUGAUGCAGCAACGCCGCGUGCGGGAUGACGGCCUUCGGGUUGUAAACCGCUUUCGCCUGUGACGAAGCGUGAGUGACGGUAAUGGGUAAAGAAGCACCGGCUAACUACGUG